This 207-nucleotide ribosomal RNA is filed under the name uncultured bacterium. Its description in RNAcentral is "partial 16S ribosomal RNA". It matches the Rfam family "Bacterial small subunit ribosomal RNA", at positions 139 to 334 of the family's 1533-position model. The record is from RNAcentral.
CCGGAUAAUUGGGAGAAAUCCCUUGUAAUACGGGCGAGGAUCAUUGUGAGGCAUCUCACGAUGCGGGAAGGUGCAACGCAAGUUGUGCCGUGCAGGGAGGUGUUCGCGGCCUAUCAGUUAGUUGGUGGGGUAACGGCCUACCAAGACGACGACGGGUAGCUGGUCUGAGAGGAUGGUCAGCCACAUUGGAACUGAGAUACUGUCCAG